This 347-nucleotide ribosomal RNA is filed under the name uncultured Mycobacterium sp. Its description in RNAcentral is "bacterial SSU rRNA". It matches the Rfam family "Bacterial small subunit ribosomal RNA", at positions 8 to 357 of the family's 1533-position model. Lineage: Bacteria; Bacillati; Actinomycetota; Actinomycetes; Mycobacteriales; Mycobacteriaceae. The record is from RNAcentral.
AGAGUUUGAUCCUGGCUCAGGACGAACGCUGGCGGCGUGCUUAACACAUGCAAGUCGAACGGAAAGGCCUCUUCGGAGGUACUCGAGUGGCGAACGGGUGAGUAACACGUGGGCAAUCUGCCCUGCACCUCGGGAUAAGCCUGGGAAACUGGGUCUAAUACCGGAUAGGACCUCAAGACGCAUGUCUUCUGGUGGAAAGCUUUUGCGGUGUGGGAUGGGCCCGCGGCCUAUCAGCUUGUUGGUGGGGUGACGGCCUACCAAGGCGACGACGGGUAGCCGGCCUGAGAGGGUGUCCGGCCACACUGGGACUGAGAUACGGCCCAGACUCCUACGGGAGGCAGCAGAAG